GAGAUGAUAAUGAAUAGUGAAAAAUGCCAAGCAGACAAUAAGCAGAAGGAACAGAGGAAAUCCACAAACUGGAUAAUUGUUUCUUGAGUAACUGACCAUCAAUCUAGAUAGUGGUUGCAGUAAUUUCAAAUUCUUCUCUUCCUUUUCACUUCAGGCUUUCAUUUGGUCUCUUUUCGAAUCAGAAGACCCAGAAAACUUGGAUCCACUUCUGGCUCUCAUCCCUCUGGGCAGUGUGAUUUGGAUUGAGCAGAUGCUCCGGCUGCCACUCCAUCAUAUAUUGGAAACAGCAUUACUUUAUAGUAAAUCAUGACCACGGUGUAUGGCAAUGAAGUUGCAUCUGAAGCAGCCGGCACCCUAUGUGCUAGCUGGCUUUUAGACCAGGAGACUGUGAAUCUGUGGUCAGGAUCUCUUUAGGGCUGCUAAAUAUAUACUACCCACUAUCACUCGCUGGAGCUGCAGACCCUAGUUUUAGAGUUUCACUUCUUAAAGACCUUCAUCCUUAUUAAAAUGGUAAUAUCCUUACUGUC
RNAcentral lists this long non-coding RNA (527 nucleotides) under Homo sapiens (human). Its description in RNAcentral is "non-protein coding LINC02384:45". The record is from RNAcentral. Lineage: Eukaryota; Metazoa; Chordata; Mammalia; Primates; Hominidae.